Dama dama (fallow deer) is the source of this 350-nucleotide long non-coding RNA. RefSeq lists it as uncharacterized. The transcript is spliced from 4 exons. The record is from RefSeq and is a predicted model, not a curated record. NCBI's taxonomy places the organism in Eukaryota, Metazoa, Chordata, Mammalia, Artiodactyla, Cervidae.
AGUUGAUUCAUCAUGCUAUGCUGCUGAUGAAGAUAAAUGAACUAUGCAAGUCAUCCUUAACUUCUCUGGUUCAGCUGCUUUCUUCUCUGAACUAUUUCAGCACCACUAUUCUAAACAAGACUUGGUCCUCUGAAGGGAACAGACUGAGCUGAGUGAGAAAGAUGUUCAAAUGUCCAGCUCUCACAACCAACGUGACCACUCAGAAGACCAUAGCCUUGACUAUAUGGACCUUUGUUGGAAGAAUAUGACAUUAGAAGAAAAGCAAUUCAAGGAAUUUUCUCAUUCAAGUUCAAAAUAGGUCUUAAAGCAGCAGAGACAAAUCUCAACAUCAACAAUGCAUUUGGCCCAGG